UGAGCCUUUCUGCAGUUCCUCACAGCUGGAAUCAGUCUCAGUCGUCCCUGGUCUGAUGUGUUGUACUUCUGCAGGUCCAACUCAUCCAGAACCUCCUCUGACAUCUGCAGCAUGUAGGCCAGAGCUGAGCAGUGGAUCUCAGAGAGUUUCUUCUCUGAUCUGUUCUCUGACUUCAGGAACUCUUGGAUCUCCUGAUGGACUGAGUGGUCGUUCAUCUCCAUCAGACAGUGGAAGAUGUUGAUGCUUCUGUCAGGAGAGAUAUCAUCACUGUUCAUCUCCUUCAGGUUGUUGAUGGCUCUCUGGAUGAUUUCUGGACUGUUGUCUGUCUGACCCAGCAGGCCUCCUAAGAGUCUCUGGUUGGACUCCAGAGAGAGGCCAUGAAGGAAGCGAACAAACAGGUCCAGGUGGCCAUUUUUACUUUUGAGGGAUUUCUCCAUGGCGCUCUUCAGAAAGACAUCCAGGGA
Dicentrarchus labrax (European seabass) is the source of this 464-nucleotide long non-coding RNA. RefSeq lists it as uncharacterized. The transcript is spliced from 4 exons. Lineage: Eukaryota; Metazoa; Chordata; Actinopteri; Moronidae. The record is from RefSeq and is a predicted model, not a curated record.